RNAcentral lists this ribosomal RNA (449 nucleotides) under uncultured bacterium. Its description in RNAcentral is "bacterial SSU rRNA". It matches the Rfam family "Bacterial small subunit ribosomal RNA", at positions 29 to 523 of the family's 1533-position model. The record is from RNAcentral.
AACGAACGCUGGCGGCAUGCCUAACACAUGCAAGUCGAACGAAGCCUUCGGGCUUAGUGGCGCACGGGUGCGUAACGCGUGGGAAUCUGCCCUUGGGUUCGGAAUAACAGUUAGAAAUGACUGCUAAUACCGAAUGAUGUCUUCGGACCAAAGAUUUAUCGCCCAAGGAUGAGCCCGCGUCGGAUUAGCUAGUUGGUGAGGUAAAGGCUCACCAAGGCGACGAUCCGUAGCUGGUCUGAGAGGAUGAUCAGCCACACUGGGACUGAGACACGGCCCAGACUCCUACGGGAGGCAGCAGUGGGGAAUAAUUGGACAAUGGCGAAAGCCUGAUCCAGCAAUGCCGCGUGAGUGAUGAAGGCCUUAGGGUUGUAAAGCUCUUUUACCCGGGAUGAUAAUGACAGUACCGGGAGAAUAAGCCCCGGCUAACUCCGUGCCAGCAGCCGCGGUAA